Molecule: ribosomal RNA, 253 nt
Filed under: uncultured bacterium
Lineage: Bacteria
Description: partial 16S ribosomal RNA
Rfam family: Bacterial small subunit ribosomal RNA
Source: RNAcentral
GACAGAGGGUGCAAACGUUGUUCGGAAUUACUGGGCGUAAAGCGCGUGUAGGCCGUCGUGCAAGUCGGGUGUGAAAGCCCGGGGCUCAACCCCGGAAGUGCACUCGAAACUGCACGACUGGAGUCCCGGAGAGGGAGGCGGAAUUCUGGGUGUAGAGGUGAAAUUCGUAGAUAUCCAGAGGAACACCAGUGGCGAAGGCGGCCUCCUGGACGGUGACUGACGCUGAGACGCGAAAGCGUGGGGAGCAAACAGG